CCUACGGGUGGCAGCAGUGAGGAAUAUUGGUCAAUGGGCGGAAGCCUGAACCAGCCAAGUAGCGUGCAGGAUGACGGCCCUACGGGUUGUAAACUGCUUUUAUACGGGAAUAACGCGCCUUACGUGUAGGGCUUUGCAGGUACCGUAUGAAUAAGGACCGGCUAAUUCCGUGCCAGCAGCCGCGGUAAUACGGAAGGUCCGGGCGUUAUCCGGAUUGAUUGGGUUUAAGGGGAGUGUAGGCUGCAGGUCAAGGGUGCUGUGAAAUGUCCGGGCUCAACCCGGGCCUUGCAGCGCGAACUGGCGUGCUUGAGUCCGCGGAAGGCAGGCGGAAUUCGUCGUGUAGCGGUGAAAUGCUUAGAUAUGACGAAGAACCCCGAUUGCGAAGGCAGCUUGCUGCAGCGGAACUGACGCUGAUGCUCGAAAGCGCGGGUAUCGAACAGGAUUAGAUACCCGAGUAGUC
This 460-nucleotide ribosomal RNA is filed under the name uncultured bacterium. Its description in RNAcentral is "partial 16S ribosomal RNA". It matches the Rfam family "Bacterial small subunit ribosomal RNA", at positions 338 to 795 of the family's 1533-position model. The record is from RNAcentral.